UGUGCGCAUGUCAGUAUAUCACAUGUAUGCUUGGUGCUUUUGGAGGUUAGAAGAGGGCAUUAGAUGACCUGAAAUGGGACUUGUGGAUGGUUUUUAAACACCCUGUGCAUGCUAGGAAUCAAACCCAGCUCCUCUGCAGAGAACAAAGUGCUCUUAACCUCUGAGCCAUCUUCCUCACCUUUGGAAAUUGCUUUUGAAAGAUGUAUUUUUAUUAUUUAUUUUGGUUUUUGGAAACGAGAUCUUGCUACAUAGCAUCAUGACCAAUGUUCAUGUGUAGCAUGAGCUUAUUCCAAUAUUCUUUACCUCAGGAACUCCUUUAGCUUCCGUGAAUAUGUGACUUAAUGAUGCAACACGAAUAGCUGCUUGCUUAUCUUUUAACAUCCUGAGGGCACCUGGUACCAUCUUCUAAGAACAGUGGCCCAAUUUCAGCCUUAGUUGACAGAAACUGCCGGACUCUUCCAAAGUAUCUGUGCGACUUCACAUUCCCACAAGGAAGUGUCUAAAAUGUCUAAAAUGAAAAACCCUCGGACUUUUGAGGAGCAAACAGAAUGCAUCAUGAAUACUCUACUCACAGACUUCUUGACCCCAACAUGGAAACCUGGAGGGCUGAAGAAGAGGGUUCUCCCCGGACUGAGCAUACUUCUUCUGGCAGAUCGGGUGGCUGUUUUCUGACAAUUAAAACAUGCUGUUUUCAAGUCCGCCAGUGUCCUUUCUAUUGAUCAUUGACUUUGGAAGCAGCUUCCAGGAGCCUACAGUGACAUUAUACUUUCUCGCCUCAUGUGAGUUUUAGUAAGAGUUUGUCGAAACCAAGACCUCCUGAGAAAGUAAUUUCUUAGUAGUAAAAUUUCAAGCACCAGGUCCGAUCUUUGCUGGAGAUAUCUGGAAGGAAACAGCACAUCAGAAACGUUUUCUUUAGGUUUAGACUUGUCUUUUGGUGAGGAUUUCAUCUGCCAGUGAUUUUGGAAUCAGAAGGAUAUCAGGAGUUUUAGUUUAAGUCUUGUUCCUUCAAGUAAAGGAUUUUCUUUCACUUCU
RNAcentral lists this long non-coding RNA (1032 nucleotides) under Rattus norvegicus (Norway rat). RNAcentral's name for it is "long non-coding RNA NONRATT015653". The record is from RNAcentral. Lineage: Eukaryota; Metazoa; Chordata; Mammalia; Rodentia; Muridae.